Molecule: ribosomal RNA, 292 nt
Filed under: uncultured bacterium
Lineage: Bacteria
Description: partial 16S ribosomal RNA
Source: RNAcentral
GGACUACCGGGGUAUCUAAUCCUGUUUGCUCCCCACGCUUUCGCACCUCAGCGUCAGUCUCUGUCCAGGUGGUCGCCUUCGCCACCGGUGUUCCUCCCAAUAUCUACGAAUUUCACCUCUACACUGGGAAUUCCACCACCCUCUCCAGGACUCAAGCUCGUCAGUUUCGAAUGCACUUCCACAGUUAGGCUGUGGGAUUUCACACCCGACUUAACAAGCCGCCUACGCGCGCUUUACGCCCAGUAAUUCCGAACAACGCUUGCACCCUCUGUCUUACCGCGGCUGCUGGCAC